GAUGAACGCUGGCGGCGUGCCUAAUACAUGCAAGUCGAGCGAACAGACGAGGAGCUUGCUCCUCUGACGUUAGCGGCGGACGGGUGAGUAACACGUGGAUAACCUACCUAUAAGACUGGGAUAACUUCGGGAAACCGGAGCUAAUACCGGAUAAUAUAUUGAACCGCAUGGUUCAAUAGUGAAAGACGGUUUUGCUGUCACUUAUAGAUGGAUCCGCGCCGCAUUAGCUAGUUGGUAAGGUAACGGCUUACCAAGGCAACUAUGCGUAGCCGACCUGAGAGGGUGAUCGGCCACACUGGAACUGAGACACGGUCCAGACUCCUACGGGAGGCAGCAGUAGGGAAUCUUCCGCAAUGGGCGAAAGCUUGACGGAGCAACGCCGCGUGAGUGAUGAAGGUCUUCGGAUCGUAAAACUCUGUUAUUAGGGAAGAACAAAUGUGUAAGUAACUAUGCACGUCUUGACGGUACCUAAUCAGAAAGCCACGGCUAACUACGUG
RNAcentral lists this ribosomal RNA (497 nucleotides) under uncultured bacterium. Its description in RNAcentral is "partial 16S ribosomal RNA". It matches the Rfam family "Bacterial small subunit ribosomal RNA", at positions 28 to 507 of the family's 1533-position model. The record is from RNAcentral.